Zea mays is the source of this 550-nucleotide long non-coding RNA. RefSeq lists it as uncharacterized. The record is from RefSeq and is a predicted model, not a curated record. NCBI's taxonomy places the organism in Eukaryota, Viridiplantae, Streptophyta, Magnoliopsida, Poales, Poaceae. The transcript has 2 exons.
AGGGACCAAAAAAAAUCUCUCGCAUGAGAAGGAACGGGCGCGUCGCGCCACUCCUCGCUCAUGGCGUCCUCCACUCUGCCAGCCUUCCCCUUCCGUCCGUCUCUUCCCGGACUUACGUCCCCGGAUCCUGCUAAGCUUAACCACGUAUCUGUUUGAAGACCCGUUCGCCGUCUUCCCGUUGCGGCCUCCGCGGCACCGUCGGGCGCCGCCGCCGCGGCGACGGAGCGCAAGCGCUUCCGGGAGCGCUACGGGCUCAACCCAGACGACUUCGAGGAAGAUGCAGAGGAGGAUCCAAGGGAAGAGAGCAGGGACAGGCGGAGCCGCGGAGACAGCAGCAGUCUGGGAGAGGGGAGCAAACUGUGGAAGCUGCAGUUACUCCAGCGAAGGUGGCGGAGCCUCGGGAGACUCACAAAUCACAAUCAAUACGUAAUGCAGUUACUUCAGGUUUGGACAGAAACCGUUCCUUUGUUUUGGUCGUGUAAUGUCAGAGCAAUUAUAUCGAUCUAUUACUCUUCUGAAUCACACAAAAAUACGAUUCCGUUUAGUGCAA